CCAGAGGUCACUGCUAUCGGUGUUCGACUAAGCCAUGCGAGUCAAAUGUUCUUCGUGAACAUGGCGUACUGCUCAGUAACACGUGGAUAACCUGCCCUUAGGUCUGGCAUAACCCCGGGAAACUGGGGAUAAUUCCGGAUAGAUUAUAGAUGCUGGAAUGCCCUGUAAUCCAAAGCUAUUGUGCCUAAGGAUGGGUCUGCGGUCUAUCAGGUUGUAGUGGGUGUAAUGUACCUACUAGCCUACGACGGAUACGGGUUGUGGGAGCAAGAGCCCGGAGAUGGAUUCUGAGACAUGAAUCCAGGCCCUACGGGGCGCAGCAGGCGCGAAAACUUUACAAUGCGGGAAACCGCGAUAAG
This 356-nucleotide ribosomal RNA is filed under the name uncultured Methanomethylovorans sp. RNAcentral describes it as "bacterial SSU rRNA". It matches the Rfam family "Archaeal small subunit ribosomal RNA", at positions 17 to 374 of the family's 1478-position model. Lineage: Archaea; Methanobacteriati; Methanobacteriota; Methanomicrobia; Methanosarcinales; Methanosarcinaceae. The record is from RNAcentral.